RNAcentral lists this ribosomal RNA (301 nucleotides) under uncultured bacterium. Its description in RNAcentral is "partial 16S ribosomal RNA". It matches the Rfam family "Bacterial small subunit ribosomal RNA", at positions 509 to 808 of the family's 1533-position model. The record is from RNAcentral.
CAGCCGCCACGGUAAUACGAAGGGGGCUAGCGUUGCUCGGAAUGACUGGGCGUAAAGGGCGCGUAGGCGGCUAUGACAGUCAGGCGUGAAAGUCCUGGGCUCAACCUGGGGUGGUCGCUUGAUACGUUGUGGCUAGAGUGGGAAGAGGGUCGUGGAAUUCCCAGUGUAGAGGUGAAAUUCGUAGAUAUUGGGAAGAACACCGGUGGCGAAGGCGGCGACCUGGUCCUUUACUGACGCUGAGGCGCGAAAGCGUGGGGAGCAAACAGGAUUAGAUACCCCUGUAGUCCCUGUCUCUUAUACA